Molecule: long non-coding RNA, 451 nt
Organism: Dendronephthya gigantea
Lineage: Eukaryota; Metazoa; Cnidaria; Anthozoa; Malacalcyonacea; Nephtheidae
Exons: 3
Source: RefSeq, a predicted model, not a curated record
GAAAAUGAAACUGGGCAGUGGGCCCAAAGUACGGAAGUCCGAAAAUGUUCAUAGGUGAUCGGGGCGAUGCGAUGGGCACAGACAAACACUUCUGCUCCGAGAUACAAAGGUAGAACGGAAGUGUAAGAGGUUGUUUUCGGUUUAACAGUGUUACAAAGAUAAUUUGACAAGUCAGCUUCUCGUCCUGUCGAUAAUGGUUAGCCUUGGCCCGUCUAGAGGCCAAAGACAAACAGUGCCUUCAGGAUUUGCUUUCCAGCACACAAGUGACAGGGAAUCUGUCCGUAGUGAAGAUGUUGAUUUGCUUACCGAAAGCAAUUAUAUUAUUUCUUCACAUAAUAGAUGUCAUGUCAUGUGUUUGUUUCUACCAUGGAUUGCUGGCUUUGAAGCUCUGUUAUUGGUGGCAUAUGAAGUCUUUGUUUUCGUCUUCGCAAAUGUUUUGGAACUGAGUGAG